Lotus japonicus is the source of this 1009-nucleotide long non-coding RNA. RefSeq lists it as uncharacterized. The transcript has 3 exons. The record is from RefSeq and is a predicted model, not a curated record. Lineage: Eukaryota; Viridiplantae; Streptophyta; Magnoliopsida; Fabales; Fabaceae.
CACUCACGUUCUCUCUCUCAGAAGCAUCACCACCAGACUUCAAUAUUUAUUCAUUUCCUUUCUUCCAUACUUUUACUUUCCUUUUCUCCUUCACGUUUUUCUUUCCCUGGCAGCAACAAACCGACGCACACCACCUUCUUUUCCUCUUUCUUUCUCAUUUUCUUUCUUCUUCUACAGAUCACAUUUUUCUUCUUCUUCUUUUCCACUUCUUUUAUUCUUCUUUUUCUUCUUCCUUCAUGAAACAAUAACCACCAUGCUAAUUUCUUCUCCUCACAUUCCAGCACCCAAAACGCACAUAAUGGUCCCUCUUCCCUCCCUCACGUGAUUUCUCUCUUGUGCAGCACCAUGUCUUCAUCUUCCUAUUCUAUGGGUACGAAGGACGGAAGUGCUUGACGACGAAGCCAAAGAACAAACGGAAGUGAGCCAACACGGGAAAGCAAAUAUAUGAUUGGAUUUGAUUUGAGUCGCAUUUAGUAAGGAAAGCACCUAAGAUGUCGACGGUGGACUGGGUUUCGAUGGUCUCUCCCACGGGGGGAAUCAGGUUUGAGUUGGAGGACCGUACUGACGAGCGUGGACGUCUGACGGAGAGAGUUCUACGACGCAUGGAGCUGAGCUCCAACUUGCCAACUUUAGUUCGCUGUGGACUCGGUUAUGUGAACAGUACUGGGAGGGUAGGUUCAGGCAGGCGUCAUACUUUGUGUAGAGCUCUGAUUCGUUUUGCUUUUGGGACAGGGUAGGUUCCCGACGCAUGACCUUUCGUGUGGUUCUCUUACUGAGGGAUCACAGUGAGUCAGUCGGACCAUAGGGGUCUUUGCUUAGGCCAUUUUGAGGCCGACUUUCUUUUGGUGGAUUGUACUUAUAAUUUUCUCACUUACAGUUCUGGUCCUGUAUAUAUUUGCCUGCGGGCACACUACUUUGGAGUCACUGCAAGUGCGCGUGACAUGGGAGUGCAGCUGAGGCUGUACAUGUUUAUAUUUGAUGUAUAUUAGUUAGUUUAGUGGUUGGGCUA